GGUCCUGUGUGGCUUAGUCGGUAGAGCAUGGCGCUUGAAAUACCAAGGGUCGUGGGUUCGAUUCCCGCUGGGACCA
Salvelinus fontinalis (brook trout) is the source of this 76-nucleotide non-coding RNA. Lineage: Eukaryota; Metazoa; Chordata; Actinopteri; Salmoniformes; Salmonidae. The record is from the annotation of a RefSeq genome assembly.